CCUUCUACUGUUCCACAAAUUUCCUAAUAAGGUGGAUAAUUUCGGAGUUGAACGACCCGGCAUGAAUUCAAUCCGGUUGUUUAAUAUGGACAUCGUCCUCCUCACCUUCACUUCUAUUACCCACUCGAAAACUUUCAUGGUGUGACAAUGUAACUUGACAUCCCUAUAGUUGUUACAACGGUUGAUAUUCACUUUGUUCUUGUACAACGGUAACACCACACUCCACCUCCACAUCUGAUAUCCUUCUCGUCCUGAAACUAACAUUAAACAACCCAGCUA
Molecule: long non-coding RNA, 279 nt
Filed under: Nicotiana benthamiana
Lineage: Eukaryota; Viridiplantae; Streptophyta; Magnoliopsida; Solanales; Solanaceae
Description: long non-coding RNA (NBEN_LNC040926)
Source: RNAcentral